Molecule: ribosomal RNA, 402 nt
Filed under: Bacteroidota bacterium
Lineage: Bacteria; Pseudomonadati; Bacteroidota
Description: Bacteroidetes bacterium partial 16S ribosomal RNA
Rfam family: Bacterial small subunit ribosomal RNA
Source: RNAcentral
UGGGGAAUUUUGCACAAUGGGGGAAACCCUGAUGCAGCGACGCCGCGUGAUUUAGAAGGCCUUCGGGUUGUAAAAAUCUUUUCUAUGGGAAGAAAAUGACAGUACCAUAGGAAUAAGGACCGGCUAAUUACGUGCCAGUAGCCGCGGUAAUACGUAAGGUCCGAGCGUUGUCCGGAAUCAUUGGGCGUAAAGGGUACGUAGGCGGGUAAGCAAGUUAGAAGUGAAAUCCUGUAGCUCAACUACAGUAAGCUUUUAAAACUGCUCAUCUUGAGAUAUGGAAGGGAAAGUGGAAUUCCUAGUGUAGCGGUGAAAUGCGCAGAUAUUAGGAGGAAUACCGGUGGCGAAGGCGACUUUCUGGCCAUAAUCUGACGCUGAGGUACGAAAGCGUGGGUAGCAAACAGG